AAUUUCAUUGUAAAAAUUUUCAAUUUUCCUUUCAAUAUGUUUAAAAUAUUCAUGUUUCAACGUCAGCUGUCAACGUCAACGCAGAACAGAUAAAAGCAGAUUUGAAUAUCCGACCUUGUCAGUCAGCUGUUGUUACUAGGCCAAGGAUGGACGGGUGAUAUCGACACCCGGACCAUGAAAAAAGUUUAUGUGUUUUUUUGUGCAACGUGUAUGUGGCCGUUUCUUUCUGUUUUUUUGCUGUUUGCUGUUGUACGGAGGACUAAGCUAGCAUUCAAAAUUUAAAAAUCAAAUGUACAUUCCUAAGAUGCACUUUUUUACACCUCUAUGUAGCGGUACUUUUUUAGUAUUUGACCAUUAGCUCCGAUGAUGACGUUUAUGUCGAAAGCGCUCAGCUAAGGAAAUAAAAUUAUUUACACACUUUGA
Long non-coding RNA from Diabrotica virgifera virgifera (western corn rootworm), 423 nucleotides. RefSeq lists it as uncharacterized. Lineage: Eukaryota; Metazoa; Arthropoda; Insecta; Coleoptera; Chrysomelidae. The transcript is spliced from 2 exons. The record is from RefSeq and is a predicted model, not a curated record.